Molecule: ribosomal RNA, 468 nt
Filed under: uncultured bacterium
Lineage: Bacteria
Description: partial 16S ribosomal RNA
Rfam family: Bacterial small subunit ribosomal RNA
Source: RNAcentral
GACGAACGCUGGCGGCGUGCUUAACACAUGCAAGUCGAACGGAAAGGCCCUGCUUUUGUGGGGUGCUCGAGUGGCGAACGGGUGAGUAACACGUGAGUAACCUGCCCUUGACUUUGGGAUAACUUCAGGAAACUGGGGCUAAUACCGGAUAGGAGCUCCUGCUGCAUGGUGGGGGUUGGAAAGUUUCGGCGGUUGGGGAUGGACUCGCGGCUUAUCAGCUUGUUGGUGGGGUAGUGGCUUACCAAGGCUUUGACGGGUAGCCGGCCUGAGAGGGUGACCGGCAACAUUGGGACUGAGAUACGGCACAGACUCCUACGGGAGGCAGCAGUGGGGAAUAUUGCACAAUGGGCGGAAGCCUGAUGCAGCAACGCCGCGUGCGGGAUGACGGCCUUCGGGUUGUAAACCGCUUUCGCCUGUGACGAAGCGUGAGUGACGGUAAUGGGUAAAGAAGCACCGGCUAACUACGUG